RNAcentral lists this ribosomal RNA (402 nucleotides) under Triticum aestivum (bread wheat). RNAcentral describes it as "partial small subunit ribosomal RNA". Lineage: Eukaryota; Viridiplantae; Streptophyta; Magnoliopsida; Poales; Poaceae. The record is from RNAcentral.
AUGGAGCUCAAUGUUAAUCUUCGUGCUUCUGAUGGUGAGCUCUUAUCUGAUCCGAUGCGUUAUCGUCAUCUUGUUGGCCGUCUUGUCUAUCUUGCUGUCACCCGUCCAGAUAUCUCCUAUCCUGUUCAUAUUCUGAGUCAGUUUGUUUCCGCUCCCACUUCAGUUCACUAUAGUCACCUUCUUCGUGUUCUACGAUAUCAUCGUGGCACGAUCUCUCAUCGUCUUUUUUUCCACGUUCCAGUUUGUUACAGCUCCAGGCCUAUUCAGAUGCUACGUGGGCAAGUGAUCCUUCAGAUCGUCGUUCUCUUUCUGCUUACUGUGUUUUUCUUGGUGGUUCUCUCAUUGCCUGGAAGACGAAGAAACAGACUGCAGUUUCUCGUUCGAGUGCAGAGGCCGAGUUGA